UUAAAUUGAAGAGUUUGAUCAUGGCUCAGAUUGAACGCUGGCGGCAGGCCUAACACAUGCAAGUCGAGCGGAAACGAGUUAUCUGAACCUUCGGGGGACGAUAACGGCGUCGAGCGGCGGACGGGUGAGUAAUGCCUAGGAAAUUGCCCUG
RNAcentral lists this ribosomal RNA (151 nucleotides) under Vibrio alginolyticus. RNAcentral's name for it is "partial 16S ribosomal RNA". It matches the Rfam family "Bacterial small subunit ribosomal RNA", at positions 1 to 132 of the family's 1533-position model. The record is from RNAcentral. RNAcentral also lists the same sequence under 2 other names. Lineage: Bacteria; Pseudomonadati; Pseudomonadota; Gammaproteobacteria; Vibrionales; Vibrionaceae.